GCAGGCCUAACACAUGCAAGUCGAGCGGAUGAAGGGAGCUUGCUCCUGGAUUCAGCGGCGGACGGGUGAGUAAUGCCUAGGAAUCUGCCUGGUAGUGGGGGAUAACGUCCGGAAACGGGCGCUAAUACCGCAUACGUCCUACGGGAGAAAGCAGGGGACCUUCGGGCCUUGCGCUAUCAGAUGAGCCUAGGUCGGAUUAGCUUGUUGGUGAGGUAAUGGCUCACCAAGGCUGCGAUCCGUAACUGGUCUGAGAGGAUGAUCAGUCACACUGGAACUGAGACACGGUCCAGACUCCUACGGGAGGCAGCAGUGGGGAAUAUUGGACAAUGGGCGAAAGCCUGAUCCAGCCAUGCCGCGUGUGUGAAGAAGGUCUUCGGAUUGUAAAGCACUUUAAGUUGGGAGGAAGGGUUGUAGGUUAAUACCCUGCAAUUUUGACGUUACCGACAGAAUAAGCACCGGCUAACUUCGUGCCAGCAGCCGCGGUAAUACGAAGGGUGCAAGCGUUAAUCGGAAUUACUGGGCGUAAAGCGCGCGUAGGUGGUUUGUCAAGUUGGAAGUGAAAGCCCCGGGCUCAACCUGGGAACUGCUUUCAAAACUGGCAAGCUAGAGUAUGGCAGAGGGUGGUGGAAUUUCCUGUGUAGCGGUGAAAUGCGUAGAUAUAGGAAGGAACAUCAGUGGCGAAGGCG
Molecule: ribosomal RNA, 686 nt
Filed under: Pseudomonas sp.
Lineage: Bacteria; Pseudomonadati; Pseudomonadota; Gammaproteobacteria; Pseudomonadales; Pseudomonadaceae
Description: bacterial SSU rRNA
Rfam family: Bacterial small subunit ribosomal RNA
Source: RNAcentral